This 487-nucleotide ribosomal RNA is filed under the name uncultured bacterium. RNAcentral describes it as "partial 16S ribosomal RNA". It matches the Rfam family "Bacterial small subunit ribosomal RNA", at positions 30 to 507 of the family's 1533-position model. The record is from RNAcentral.
CGAACGCUGGCGGCGUGCUUAACACAUGCAAGUCGAGCGGUGAAGGGAUCAGCUUGCUGGUUCUGGAUGAGUGGCGAACGGGUGAGUAACACGUGAGUAACCUGCCCCCUUCUUCUGGAUAACCGCAUGAAAGUGUGGCUAAUACGGGAUAUUCUGCGCCUGCUGCAUGGUGGGUGUGGGAAAGAUAUUGUUUCGGUGGGGGAUGGGCUCGCGGCCUAUCAGCUUGUUGGUGGGGUGAUGGCCUACCAAGGCGGUGACGGGUAGCCGGCCUGAGAGGGUGGACGGUCACACUGGGACUGAGACACGGCCCAGACUCCUACGGGAGGCAGCAGUGGGGAAUAUUGCACAAUGGGCGCAAGCCUGAUGCAGCGACGCCGCGUGAGGGAUGGAGGCCUUCGGGUUGUGAACCUCUUUCGCCAGUGAAGCAGGCCUGUCCCUCGUGGGUGGGUUGACGGUAGCUGGAUAAGAAGCGCCGGCUAACUACGUG